GACGAACGCUGGCGGCGUGCUUAACACAUGCAAGUCGAACGGAAAGGCCCUGCUUUUGUGGGGUGCUCGAGUGGCGAACGGGUGAGUAACACGUGAGUAACCUGCCCUUGACUUUGGGAUAACUUCAGGAAACUGGGGCUAAUACCGGAUAGGAGCUCCUGCUGCAUGGUGGGGGUUGGAAAGUUUCGGCGGUUGGGGAUGGACUCGCGGCUUAUCAGCUUGUUGGUGGGGUAGUGGCUUACCAAGGCUUUGACGGGUAGCCGGCCUGAGAGGGUGACCGGCGACAUUGGGACUGAGAUACGGCGCAGACUCCAACGGGAGGCAGCAGUGGGGAAUAUUACACAGUGGGCGGGAGCCUGAGGCAGCAGCGCCGCGUGCGGGAUGACGGCCUUCGGGUUGUAAACCGCUUUCGCCUGUGACGAAGCGUGAGUGACGGUAAUGGGUAAAGAAGCACCGGCUAACUACGUG
This 468-nucleotide ribosomal RNA is filed under the name uncultured bacterium. RNAcentral describes it as "partial 16S ribosomal RNA". It matches the Rfam family "Bacterial small subunit ribosomal RNA", at positions 28 to 507 of the family's 1533-position model. The record is from RNAcentral.